GUCAGGAUGGUGUAGUUGGUUAUCACGUGUGCCUCACAAUCAGGAAUCCCCACCUGAUGAGAACGCACAAGGUCCCGAGUUCGAACCUCGGUCUUGACA
This is a non-coding RNA of Mycoemilia scoparia, 99 nucleotides long. NCBI's taxonomy places the organism in Eukaryota, Fungi, Kickxellomycota, Kickxellomycetes, Kickxellales, Kickxellaceae. The record is from the annotation of a GenBank genome assembly.